RNAcentral lists this non-coding RNA (110 nucleotides) under Partenskyella glossopodia. Lineage: Eukaryota; Cercozoa; Chlorarachniophyceae. The record is from RNAcentral.
GAAAUAAUAUAUUAAGAAAAUUAAAAAAAAAAAAAAAAAAAAAAAAAAAAAAUCGUAAAAAGGAAGUGCAAGUUUUUUUUUUUUUCCAUAGUAACUUUACUUGGUUUUUU